RNAcentral lists this ribosomal RNA (588 nucleotides) under uncultured bacterium. RNAcentral describes it as "bacterial SSU rRNA". It matches the Rfam family "Bacterial small subunit ribosomal RNA", at positions 8 to 595 of the family's 1533-position model. The record is from RNAcentral.
AGAGUUUGAUUAUGGCUCAGAUUGAACGCUGGCGGAAUGCUUUACACAUGCAAGUCGAACGGUAGAGGGGGCAACCCCUCGAGAGUGGCGAACGGGUGAGUAAUAUAUCGGAACGUGCCCAGUCGUGGGGGAUAACGUAGCGAAAGUUACGCUAAUACCGCAUACGAUCUAAGGAUGAAAGCGGGGGAUCGCAAGACCUCGCGCGAUUGGAGCGGCCGAUAUCAGAUUAGGUAGUUGGUGGGGUAAAGGCUCACCAAGCCAACGAUCUGUAGCUGGUCUGAGAGGACGACCAGCCACACUGGAACUGAGACACGGUCCAGACUCCUACGGGAGGCAGCAGUGGGGAAUUUUGGACAAUGGACGAAAGUCUGAUCCAGCCAUUCCGCGUGCAGGAUGAAGGCCCUCGGGUUGUAAACUGCUUUUGUACGGAACGAAAAGGUUUCUAUUAAUACUAGGAGCUCAUGACGGUACCGUAAGAAUAAGCACCGGCUAACUACGUGCCAGCAGCCGCGGUAAUACGUAGGGUGCAAGCGUUAAUCGGAAUUACUGGGCGUAAAGCGUGCGCAGGCGGUUAUAUAAGACAGAUGU